GGCUGGUCUAACUGCAGUGUUGUUUAUAACUAAUGAUCACUUCCAGUUACAGGUUUCUUUGUUAUCUCUCCACUCCCUCUGAUUCACUAGACUAAAGCCUGGU
This 103-nucleotide non-coding RNA is filed under the name Cavia porcellus (domestic guinea pig). Lineage: Eukaryota; Metazoa; Chordata; Mammalia; Rodentia; Caviidae. The record is from RNAcentral.